Nomascus leucogenys (northern white-cheeked gibbon) is the source of this 106-nucleotide small nuclear RNA. The record is from Ensembl. Lineage: Eukaryota; Metazoa; Chordata; Mammalia; Primates; Hylobatidae.
GUGCUUGCUUUGGCGGCACAUAUACAAAAAUUGGAAUAAUACAGAGAAAAUUACCAUGACUCCUGUAUAAGAUGACAUGCAAAUUUGUGAAGAGUUCCAUAUUUUC